This is a long non-coding RNA of Callithrix jacchus (white-tufted-ear marmoset), 2144 nucleotides long. The record is from Ensembl. NCBI's taxonomy places the organism in Eukaryota, Metazoa, Chordata, Mammalia, Primates, Cebidae.
GCUCUCUGGGGCCGGUGCCCUUCACGCUGGGGUUCCACAUAGCAACAAAUGGAGAGAGUGCCCCGGGAGUCCAUUCCCGCAGGGGUUCUUCAGAAGGGCGGUUCUCCACAGCACCUCAGAGACAGCUGUCACUUGGGGUUCAUCCAGUGACAUGGGGCCAACUUGGAGGCAGCUCCUACACAAGCACCUCAGAGUCCCCGGAGGACUGUCCACGGCCGCAAACCCGCCCCUCAUGUGACGGUCUGGUCCCUGCCGCCCCCGCUCCCACUUACCGGGACCUUCCAGGCCGGCAGACUCUACACCGCGUGCCUUGCGCUGCCCAGAGGAGCUCGAGGGCCGGCGUGCUGGGCCAAGGGCAGGCAAAAGGUAGCGCUGGCGGAGCUCCGAGUAGAGGCGUUCACCGCAGAGGCGCAUGCGCCCACGCGAGGCGCUCUUGGCCGCUGGUGGGCUCGUGGGGCGUUCCGCCCCACCCUCCGCGCCUCGAGGUGCGGGCCUCGCGGAUCAGUUGUGGGCGCCGGCGCGCUUGGAGUUGGGGGGACGCGGGAGUGGAGUUCUAUGGGGGUCGGAUGAACCGUGGGCCCAGGUGCCAGUUGGCGCCCCCUUCGAGCACCCUGGUCUGCGGCGCGGGGACUGCACCUGCCGGCCGACUGCGGCAAGGACUGUGUCAGGCCCAAGGGGGCGCAGGGCUGAGCCCGCUAACACUUCCGCUCCUCGUAAAGCCUCUCCACUGCACAGGAAUUCCAUGCCAUAGGAACUCAUACCAUCCUACGGGUUCCUCCAGUGUGAAGACCAACCUCCUGGCCCUGGCCCAUUCCAACUUCAAGAUUCUCUGCCUUAAAAGUCAAAACCCAGCCAAGAUGGGCUCCUAUAGCUCCUCCCUCUAUUGCUUGUGUUAAAGGGAUGGGGCAGUGGUCUCAGUGUUUACACGAUGAUGCUACUGGGAAAUGCAGAGUCCUCGGUCCUUUGGAAGAAAGAAUCAGCCGAGAGAUAAUUUAAAGAGGAGAAUUAAUUGAAGGAAAAUAGAGAGCAGAGAGUAUAUUUGGAAGGACAGUACACUCUAAAAGAUAAGGCAAAGGGGGCUGCUGACAGAGAAUGAGCCAACAGCAGCAGCCCCAAGAGUUCUGCAUUGGGUUUUUGUAUCAGAUUUUCUUGAGGUUCCCACCUCUGUCUUACUUAAGUCUCUGCCUUUUUUUCUUUGUCUAGUUUUCCCACUUCUGCCUUAAGUCCUUGCCUUUAUCCCCACCUAGUUCCCAUCCAGGCCUGUGGGAGUCUCCCUUACUAUUAGUUGGUCUGCAUGCAUGGUCCCCAUGUUGGAUAUGAAUUCUACCUGCAUUGCUCAUUACUGCCACCACAAAAACGUUGUAGAGUGGUCAGAUCUAGACUUAAUGCACCUAUGUAUCUCUUAGGAAUUUCUCCCUUGCUGUCUUCCCCUCCUUAUCGGCCUGUAGCUAGCUAUAUUCUGACAGAUUACCUGCAGAGCAAGCAAUUACUGGGCAUCUUAAGGGGGCAUUUCAGGGUGUUCUUUUCUGCGUAGGUAUUUCCCCUCCUCUCUGCUCAUACCCAGUAUGCAGGUUUGGGGUGGUCUCUGGGGUGCGAGAUUUUCUAGACCUCCCUUUCCUCAGGGGCUCCCUCUCCUGCUCAUGUCUGGCUAUCUGCCUACUCUAACAAUGGGAGCACACUGCUAAACUAUACUAACUGUAGCUAGUGGUAGGGGAAGCUUGUAUGGGUGCUUGGAUGUUGGCUUCUUUGGUAUCAGUAAAUACAAUGGCCAUGUGUAUUUGCUAUCUUGGCCUUUUAAAAAACAAAUCCUAGUAUCCUUGAAAAGAAAACAAUUCAUAAAGCUGGUAUUUCACCAGCAUUUCUCGAGCUCAGAGGGAGGAAAUUCCCUUCCUGUAUAGGAGAGGACAGGAAGUUCUAUUUGAAACGUCUCCGAACUUCUCCAGGCCCUCGUGCCCAAUUUUGUUUGAAAGUCAUGGAUUUUGCAAAUGUUAAGAACAGUUGCUGCUGGCUGGGUGCAGUGAUUCAUACCUACAAUCCCAGCACCUUGGGAGGCUGACGUGGAAGGAUCAAUUGAGCUCAGGAGUUGAAGACCAGAUUGGGUAAUAUAGCAAGACCUUGUCUCUAUUAAAAAUAAAAAUAAUUUA